UAGAUUGAAGCCAGUUACUAGGGUAUU
Molecule: transfer RNA, 27 nt
Filed under: Canis lupus familiaris (dog)
Lineage: Eukaryota; Metazoa; Chordata; Mammalia; Carnivora; Canidae
Description: partial tRNA-Asn
Source: RNAcentral